Molecule: transfer RNA, 86 nt
Filed under: Cupressus sempervirens
Lineage: Eukaryota; Viridiplantae; Streptophyta; Pinopsida; Cupressales; Cupressaceae
Also listed under: 28 other names
Description: tRNA-Ser
Rfam family: tRNA
About the family: Transfer RNA (tRNA) molecules are approximately 80 nucleotides in length.
Source: RNAcentral
GGAGAGAUGGCCGAGUGGUUGAUGGCUCUGGUCUUGAAAACCGGUAUAGUGAAAAACUAUCGAGGGUUCGAAUCCCUCUCUCUCCU